RNAcentral lists this long non-coding RNA (466 nucleotides) under Androctonus crassicauda. The record is from RNAcentral. Lineage: Eukaryota; Metazoa; Arthropoda; Arachnida; Scorpiones; Buthidae.
CCAGUGUUAACUGUACAGGUAGCCCUCAAUUUAUGCCGAUUCAAUUUGCGCCGGCUUUUGUAGGAAUGGAACUGCGGCAUGCGGCAUAAACUGAGGGCUACCUAUACUUAUGAAUGGUGCUCCUUACAUUGGCCUCAGAUUUGUUCUUCUCAUGCACUCUCAAAACAUCUUGUGCAUUCAUUGGCAUGAAAUUUUAAUCAUUUGUAAAUCAAACAGAAAGGCAUUUACAUACCAAGUUUCAUACCUCUAUUUUUUAGGGAUGGAUUUUUUUUUGCAACAGAGUAUAUUAUAUGAAGAAUCAAAGGUAGAGAAAUAUGCCUGUUAGUGCCAUGCUGUGACAGUUAAAUUUAAAAAAAAUUAAGAAAUCUUUAUGGUAAUGUGUCUAAAAUGUUAGUGCCACUACCAUAACGUGCAGAUCUGCCAGAUACUUUUAUAUAUGUAUAUUUAGUGCUUUUUUUUUCUGAUG